GAUGAACGCUAGCUACAGGCUUAACACAUGCAAGUCGAGGGGCAGCAUGGCCUUAGCUUGCUAAGGCCGAUGGCGACCGGCGCACGGGUGAGUAACGCGUAUCCAACCUGCCUUACACUCUUGGACAGCCUUCUGAAAGGGAGAUUAAUACAAGAUGUUAUCAUGAGUAAGCAUUUUCGCAUGAUUAAAGGUUUACCGGUGUAAGAUGGGGAUGCGUUCCAUUAGAUAGUAGGCGGGGUAACGGCCCACCUAGUCUUCGAUGGAUAGGGGUUCUGAGAGGAAGGUCCCCCACAUUGGAACUGAGACACGGUCCAAACUCCUACGGGAGGCAGCAGUGAGGAAUAUUGGUCAAUGGACGAGAGUCUGAACCAGCCAAGUAGCGUGAAGGAUGAAGGUUCUAUGGAUUGUAAACUUCUUUUAUACGGGAAUAACGAAUCCACGUGUGGAUUUUUGCAUGUACCGUAUGAAUAAGGA
This 474-nucleotide ribosomal RNA is filed under the name uncultured bacterium. RNAcentral describes it as "bacterial SSU rRNA". It matches the Rfam family "Bacterial small subunit ribosomal RNA", at positions 28 to 492 of the family's 1533-position model. The record is from RNAcentral.